RNAcentral lists this ribosomal RNA (399 nucleotides) under uncultured bacterium. RNAcentral describes it as "partial 16S ribosomal RNA". It matches the Rfam family "Archaeal small subunit ribosomal RNA", at positions 473 to 872 of the family's 1478-position model. The record is from RNAcentral.
AUACCAGCACCCCGAGUGGUCGGGACGAUUAUUGGGCCUAAAGCAUCCGUAGCCGGCCUUACAAGUCCUCCGUUAAAUCCAGCUGCUCAACAGAUGGGCUGCGGAGGAUACUAUAAGACUAGGAGGUAGGAGAGGCAAGCGGUACUCAGUGGGUAGGGGUAAAAUCCGUUGAUCCAUUGAAGACCACCAGUGGCGAAGGCGGCUUGCCAGAAUGCGCUCGACGGUGAGGGAUGAAAGCUGGGGGAGCAAACCGGAUUAGAUACCCGGGUAGUCCCAGCUGUAAACGAUGCAGACUCGGUGAUGGACUAGCUUUAUGCUGGUCCAGUGCCGCAGGGAAGCCGUUAAGUCUGCCGCCUGGGUAGUACGGUCGCAAGACUGAAACUUAAAUGAAUUGGCGGG